AACGAACGCUGGCGGCAGGCCUAAUACAUGCAAGUUGAACGUGAUCAACACUUCGGUGUUGUGAAAGUAGCGCACGGGUGAGUAACACGUGGGAAUCUACCCUUUGGUACGGAACAACAGUUGGAAACGACUGCUAAUACCGUAUAAUGACUCCGGUCCAAAGAUUUAUCGCCAAAGGAUGAGCCCGCGUCUGAUUAGCUAGUUGGUAGGGUAAAAGCCUACCAAGGCGACGAUCAGUAGCUGGUUUGAGAGGAUGAUCAGCCACACUGGGACUGAGACACGGCCCAGACUCCUACGGGAGGCAGCAGUAAGGAAUAUUGGACAAUGGGCGAAAGCCUGAUCCAGCCAUGCCGCGUGAGUGAAGAAGGCCCUAGGGUUGUAAAGCUCUUUUAAUCGUGAAGAUAAUGACGGUAGCGAUAGAAAAAGCUCCGGCUAACUCCGUGCCAGCCGCCGCCGUAACAC
This 462-nucleotide ribosomal RNA is filed under the name uncultured bacterium. Its description in RNAcentral is "bacterial SSU rRNA". It matches the Rfam family "Bacterial small subunit ribosomal RNA", at positions 29 to 526 of the family's 1533-position model. The record is from RNAcentral.